GAAUCCCGUCUUUGGCACGGAUGCCCGGUGCUUCUGUGAUGCGCUCUCGAAGAGUCGAGUUGUUUGGGAAUGCAGCUCAAAAUGGGUGGUGAACUCCAUCUAAAGCUAAAUAUUGGCGAGAGACCGAUAGCGAACAAGUACCGUGAGGGAAAGAUGAAAAGCACUUUGGAAAGAGAGUGAAACAGUACGUGAAAUUGUUGAAAGGGAAACGCUUGAAGUCAGUCGCGUCGACCGAGACUCAGCCUUGCCUUGGCUUGGUGUACUUCUCGGCCCGACGGGUCGGCGUCAAUUUUGCCCCUCGGAUAAUGGCAAGGGAAAGGUGGCACCUUUACGGGUGUGUUAUAGUCUCCUGUCGCAUGCGAGGGGUGGGAUUGAGGAACUCAGCGCGCACCAAGGCGGUGUCGGGGCUUCUGCCCACGUAACGCGCUUAGGAUGCUGGCGUAAUGGCUUUAAACGACCCGUCUUGAAACACGGACCAAGGAGUCCAACACGCCCGCGAGUGUUCGGGUGGAAAACCCGUGCGCGUAAUGAAAGUGAAAGUUGGGACCUCUGUCGUGGAGGGCACCGACGCCCGGACCAGACCUUCUGUGACGGAUCUGCGGUAGAGCGUGUGUGUUGGGACCCGAAAGAUGGUGAACUAUGCCUGAAUAGGGUGAAGCCAGAGGAAACUCUGGUGGAGGCUCGUAGCGAUUCUGACGUGCAAAUCGAUCGUCAAAUUUGGGUAUAGGGGCGAAAGACUAAUCGAACCAUCUAGUAGCUGGUUCCUGCC
RNAcentral lists this ribosomal RNA (769 nucleotides) under uncultured Lactarius. RNAcentral describes it as "partial 28S ribosomal RNA". It matches the Rfam family "Eukaryotic large subunit ribosomal RNA", at positions 216 to 962 of the family's 3401-position model. Lineage: Eukaryota; Fungi; Basidiomycota; Agaricomycetes; Russulales; Russulaceae. The record is from RNAcentral.